Molecule: ribosomal RNA, 977 nt
Filed under: human gut metagenome
Description: bacterial LSU rRNA
Rfam family: Bacterial large subunit ribosomal RNA
Source: RNAcentral
ACGGUCCUAAGGUAGCGAAAUUCCUUGUCGGGUAAGUUCCGACCCGCAUGAAAGGCGUAAUGAUUUGGGCACUGUCUCAACGAGGGGCCCGGUGAAAUUGAAAUACCUGUGAAGAUGCAGGUUACCCGCGACUGGACAGAAAGACCCCAUGGAGCUUCACUGCAGCUUGAGAUUGAAUCCCGGUGACAUAUGCACAGGAUAGGUGGGAGGCUAAGAAGUAAUGCCUUUGGGUGUUACAGAGCCGAUGUUGGGAUACCACCCUUAUGUUGCUGAGAUUCUAACACGGAGACUAACAACCUCGUGGACCAUCUCAGGCAGGCGGUUUGACUGGGGCGGUCGCCUCCUAAAAUGUAACGGAGGCGCCCAAAGGUUCCCUCAGGCCGGACAGAAACCGGCCGAAGAGUGCAAAGGCAGAAGGGAGCUUGACUGCGAGACAGACAAGUCGAGCAGAGACGAAAGUCGGGCUUAGUGAUCCGGUGGUACUGAGUGGAAAGGCCAUCGCUCAACGGAUAAAAGCUACCCUGGGGAUAACAGGCUAAUCUCUCCCAAGAGUUCAUAUCGACGGGGAGGUUUGGCACCUCGAUGUCGGCUCAUCACAUCCUGGAGCUGGAGUAGGUUCCAAGGGUUGGGCUGUUCGCCCAUUAAAGUGGUACGCGAGCUGGGUUCAAAACGUCGUGAGACAGUUUGGUUCAUAUCCAUCGCGGGCGCAAGAAGUUUGAGGGAGGCUGCUCCUAGUACGAGAGGACCGGAGUGGACGGAUCAACGGUGUACCAGUUGUCACGCCAGUGGCACGGCUGGAAAGCCGCAUCCGGAAAGGAUAAACGCUGAAAGCAUCUAAGCGUGAAGCCCGUCCCGAGAUGAGACUUCUCAUCAGCAAUGAGUAAGACCCCUUAAAGACGAUGAGGUUGAUAGGCUGUGAGUGGAAGUGGCGCAAGUCAUGGAGCGACGCAGUACUAAUAGGUCGAGGUCUUAGCUUA